RNAcentral lists this ribosomal RNA (484 nucleotides) under uncultured bacterium. RNAcentral describes it as "partial 16S ribosomal RNA". It matches the Rfam family "Bacterial small subunit ribosomal RNA", at positions 30 to 507 of the family's 1533-position model. The record is from RNAcentral.
AUUGAACGCUGGCGGCAGGCCUAACACAUGCAAGUCGAGCGGAUGAAGGGAGCUUGCUCCUGGAUUCAGCGGCGGACGGGUGAGUAAUGCCUAGGAAUCUGCCUGGUAGUGGGGGAUAACGUCCGGAAACGGGCGCUAAUACCGCAUACGUCCUGAGGGAGAAAGUGGGGGAUCUUCGGACCUCACGCUAUCAGAUGAGCCUAGGUCGGAUUAGCUAGUUGGUUGGGUAAAGGCCUACCAAGGCGACGAUCCGUAACUGGUCUGAGAGGAUGAUCAGUCACACUGGAACUGAGACACGGUCCAGACUCCUACGGGAGGCAGCAGUGGGGAAUAUUGGACAAUGGGCGAAAGCCUGAUCCAGCCAUGCCGCGUGUGUGGAGAAGGUCUUCGGAUUGUAAAGCACUUUAAGUUGGGAGGAAGGGCAGUAAGUUAAUACCUUGCUGUUUUGACGUUACCAACAGAAUAAGCACCGGCUAACUUCGUG